GGAAAAGAAACUAACAAGGAUUCCCCUAGUAACUGCGAGUGAAGCGGGAAAAGCUCAAAUUUAAAAUCUGGCAGUCUUUGGCUGUCCGAGUUGUAAUCUAGAGAAGUGUUAUCCGCGCUGGACCGUGUACAAGUCUCCUGGAAUGGAGCGUCAUAGAGGGUGAGAAUCCCGUCUUUGACACGGACUACCAGGGCUUUGUGAUGCGCUCUCAAAGAGUCGAGUUGUUUGGGAAUGCAGCUCAAAAUGGGUGGUAAAUUCCAUCUAAAGCUAAAUAUUGGCGAGAGACCGAUAGCGAACAAGUACCGUGAGGGAAAGAUGAAAAGAACUUUGGAAAGAGAGUUAAACAGUACGUGAAAUUGCUGAAAGGGAAACGCUUGAAGUCAGUCGCGUUGUCCAGGGAUCAACCUUGCUUUUGCUUGGUGCACUUUCUGGUUGACGGGUCAGCAUCAAUUUUGACCAUUGGAAAAAGAUUAAGGGAAUGUGGCAUCUUUGGAUGUGUUAUAGCCCUUGGUUGCAUACGAUGGUUGGGAUUGAGGAACUCAGCACGCCGCAAGGCCGGGUUUUUAACCACGUACGUGCUUAGGAUGCUGGCAUAAUGGCUUUAAUCGACCCGUCUUGAAACACGGACCAAGGAGUCUAACAUGCCUGCGAGUGUUUGGGUGGAAAACCCGAGCGCGUAAUGAAAGUGAAAGUUGAGAUCCCUGUCGUGGGGAGCAUCGACGCCCGGACCAGACCUUUUGUGACGGUUCCGCGGUAGAGCAUGUAUGUUGGGACCCGAAAGAUGGUGAACUAUGCCUGAAUAGGGUGAAGCCAGAGGAAACUCUGGUGGAGGCUCGUAGCGAUUCUGACGUGCAAAUCGAUCGUCAAAUUUGGGUAUAGGGGCGAAAGACUAAUCGAACCAUCUAGUA
This 908-nucleotide ribosomal RNA is filed under the name Cortinarius humboldtensis. RNAcentral's name for it is "partial 28S large subunit ribosomal RNA". It matches the Rfam family "Eukaryotic large subunit ribosomal RNA", at positions 55 to 949 of the family's 3401-position model. The record is from RNAcentral. Lineage: Eukaryota; Fungi; Basidiomycota; Agaricomycetes; Agaricales; Cortinariaceae.